Ictidomys tridecemlineatus (thirteen-lined ground squirrel) is the source of this 72-nucleotide non-coding RNA. Lineage: Eukaryota; Metazoa; Chordata; Mammalia; Rodentia; Sciuridae. The record is from Rfam.
UGGGAUGUGGCUCAGUGGUAGAGCACUUGCUCAGCAUGCAAAGGGCCCUGGGGUCCAUCCCCAGCCCCACAA